CCUACGGGAGGCAGCAGUGAGGAAUAUUGGUCAAUGGGCGUAAGCCUGAACCAGCCAAGUCGCGUGAGGGAUGAAGGUUCUAUGGAUCGUAAACCUCUUUUAUAAGGGAAUAAAGUGUGGGACGUGUCCUAUUUUGUAUGUACCUUAUGAAUAAGGAUCGGCUAACUCCGUGCCAGCAGCCGCGGUAAUACGGAGGAUCCGAGCGUUAUCCGGAUUUAUUGGGUUUAAAGGGUGCGUAGGAGGCCUGUUAAGUCAGCGGUGAAAGUCUGUGGCUCAACCAUAGAAUUGCAGUUGAUACUGGGAGGCUUGAGUAUGUUUGAGGCAGGCGGAAUUCGUGGUGUAGCGGUGAAAUGCUUAGAUAUCACGCAGAACCCCGAUUGCGAAGGCAGCCUGCCAAGCCAUGACUGACGCUGAUGCACGAAAGCGUGGGGAUCAAACAGGAUUAGAUACCCCUGUAGUC
Molecule: ribosomal RNA, 460 nt
Filed under: uncultured bacterium
Lineage: Bacteria
Description: partial 16S ribosomal RNA
Rfam family: Bacterial small subunit ribosomal RNA
Source: RNAcentral